CCCCUCCGGUUCCCUUUCCCAUCGGAUCUGAACGCUGGUCUUGGUGGUCGUAAAAGGAGGAAAAGGAACACUGAAGCUGGCCUCGUGGUGCUUAUAGUCUGUUAUGUAGACUGUGGGCUAGUUUCAAACAGGG
Molecule: small nucleolar RNA, 133 nt
Filed under: Zalophus californianus (California sea lion)
Lineage: Eukaryota; Metazoa; Chordata; Mammalia; Carnivora; Otariidae
Also listed under: 1 other name
Description: Small nucleolar RNA SNORA61 (ENSZCAG00015010691.1)
Rfam family: Small nucleolar RNA SNORA61
About the family: ACA61 is a member of the H/ACA class of snoRNA that guide the sites of modification of uridines to pseudouridines.
Source: RNAcentral